This is a long non-coding RNA of Carassius carassius (crucian carp), 394 nucleotides long. RefSeq lists it as uncharacterized. The record is from RefSeq and is a predicted model, not a curated record. Lineage: Eukaryota; Metazoa; Chordata; Actinopteri; Cypriniformes; Cyprinidae. The transcript has 2 exons.
CUUUAUUUGUGUUCUGAAGAUGAACGAAGGACUUACAGGUUUGGAACAACAUGAGGGUGAGUAAUUAAUGACAGAAUUUUCAUUCUUGGGUGAACUAUCCCUUUAAGAACAGAAAUGGACAUUGCAGUUGAGAAUAAUGAGGGAAAUUAUUUUAAGGAAUUUUUAUUAAACCACAAAAGUGAAAAAGACCAUGAAAAUAAUAUCAGCAGCUAUUUGUAACUUUUUUUCUCUUUUUUUUAUCAAUCCUAUUUAUAAACAUUUCAGCUAUUCAUUUUAUGGCUUGUGCUUUUAUAAUCACAAUUUUAUAAUCUGAUCUUUUAUCAUGUUUUUCACAAACAGGUCUAUGCAAAAGUGCAGACGUUUUGGUGGAAUUUAAAUUAAAUGGUUGAACAUU